Long non-coding RNA from Pseudophryne corroboree (corroboree frog), 772 nucleotides. RefSeq lists it as uncharacterized. The transcript has 4 exons. The record is from RefSeq and is a predicted model, not a curated record. Lineage: Eukaryota; Metazoa; Chordata; Amphibia; Anura; Myobatrachidae.
CUGUUGCCAUGGUUGCGGGGGGACGUGCUCGGGGCGCGCGUAAGUGUGAUGCCGCUGGUGAGCGCCGGUGGGCUAGCAGCUCUGACGCGACUGCUGCCUCGUUGGUUGCCUUGGUAACCACGGCUGUUGUCAUGGCGACGUCGGGACGCGGCCGGGGCGCGCGUAAGCAUGACGCCUCUGGUGAGCGCCCCGUCGUGCGGGGGGCGGGCUACACAUGUGUUUGUGGUUAUGCACACUUAGGGGUCUUUAUAAGGCUGGUAAGUUGUUCAUUGUUUUAUGUUCACCAUUCGUUUGUGUUGCUGUGUAUCUGUACACAUCCUGAUGACGGUGGUCUACACCGAAACGUUGAUGAUGUAAGCAUUGGAUGAUCUUUUUCUCUUUCUUUGAAUACAAUCUAUUGCAAAAUCCUAUGAGUGCCGUCCCUCUGUUUGGAGAUUAUUUGUUCAUGGCUACCCCAUGAUUGGACAGGAUCACCAAGAACGACUUACCUUGGAUGGAAAAGACAUUUUAUAAGCGGGAUUGUGUUUCUAUAAUACCAAGUUCAAGAGAACCUCACAGAUGUAUCCCGGGAUGUCAGAUUUGUCAGCAGCUUAUCCGGUGCUGCUGUGGUCGGCUAAUCAGAGAACACAGUCUUCAUGCUGGAAACACUGGCAUAAAUCUCUCAGAUUAUCAACCAACAUCAGAUGUGUGGACAGUGCAGAAGUGCACAGUGAAGAGUUCUACAGAUGCAUAUGGCACUAUUGACUUUCAAGGAGGAUCAAAUGUCUGCAAA